CCUACGGGUGGCAGCAGUGGGGAAUAUUGGACAAUGGGGGCAACCCUGAUCCAGCCAUGCCGCGUGUGUGAAGAAGGCCCUCGGGUUGUAAAGCACUUUCAGUGAGGAAGAACGCCUGGUGGUUAAUACCCAUCAGGAAAGACAUCACUCACAGAAGAAGCACCGGCUAACUCCGUGCCAGCAGCCGCGGUAAUACGGAGGGUGCGAGCGUUCAUCGGAAUUACUGGGCGUAAAGCGCGCGUAGGUGGCUUGAUAAGCCGGUUGUGAAAGCCCCGGGCUCAACCUGGGAACGGCAUCCGGAACUGGCAAGCUAGAGUGCAGGAGAGGAAGGUAGAAUUCCCGGUGUAGCGGUGAAAUGCGUAGAGAUCGGGAGGAAUACCAGUGGCGAAGGCGGCCUUCUGGACUGACACUGACACUGAGGUGCGAAAGCGUGGGUAGCAAACAGGAUUAGAUACCCGAGUAGUC
Molecule: ribosomal RNA, 465 nt
Filed under: Vreelandella stevensii
Lineage: Bacteria; Pseudomonadati; Pseudomonadota; Gammaproteobacteria; Oceanospirillales; Halomonadaceae
Description: partial 16S ribosomal RNA
Rfam family: Bacterial small subunit ribosomal RNA
Source: RNAcentral